This 118-nucleotide ribosomal RNA is filed under the name Haematopinus quadripertusus. RNAcentral's name for it is "partial 16S ribosomal RNA". Lineage: Eukaryota; Metazoa; Arthropoda; Insecta; Psocodea; Haematopinidae. The record is from RNAcentral.
AAGUUUUUAAUAGUCGAACAGACUAACCAUUUUACCUUUUACAUCAUAAAUGAAAACUUAAUUCAACAUCGAGGUCACAAUCCUCCUUUUCCCAUAAGGACUGAGAAAGAAGAUUAUG